AGGACGAACGCUGGCGGCGUGCUUAACACAUGCAAGUCACGGGGGCCCGCAAGGGCAACCGGCGAACGGGUGCGUAACACGUGAGCAACCUGCCGAUCUGUGGGGGAUAGCCGGGCUAACGCCCGGGUAAUACCGCAUACGGUUGCCGAGGGGAGUCCCUUGGCAAAGAAACCUCCGGGGCAGAUCGAGGGGCUCGCGGCCUAUCAGCUUGUUGGUGGGGUAAUGGCCUACCAAGGCGACGACGGGUAGCCGGCCUGAGAGGGCGACCGGCCACACUGGGACUGAGACACGGCCCAGACUCCUACGGGAGGCAGCAGUGGGGAAUAUUGCGCAAUGGGCGAAAGCCUGACGCAGCGACGCCGCGUGAGGGAUGACGGCCUUCGGGUUGUAAACCUCUUUCAGCAGGGACGAAGCGAAGUGACGGUACCUGCAGAGAAGCGCCGGCCAACUACGUGCCAGCAGCCGC
RNAcentral lists this ribosomal RNA (466 nucleotides) under uncultured bacterium. Its description in RNAcentral is "SSU rRNA". It matches the Rfam family "Bacterial small subunit ribosomal RNA", at positions 26 to 518 of the family's 1533-position model. The record is from RNAcentral.